GGGAGGGACUGGUCACGUGAUUAGUAGCCCAGCCGUUAAACCGACCAAGCUCGAGCUCACCAGCGCGCGGGGCACAAAAGGCCCCGGAUGAUCGGUUGAGCUAGGAAACAAAUCUGAAUCAGUCUUCCCACCACGGGGGAGUCACAGUCCGUGGACAAAUCAGGCCGCUCACACGGAGUUGCCUUGUCCGGAUCACAGUGAGAAGUGAGCGGCGACUUGCAUAUCAGGGGUUCGCAAGUUCACAGAGUACGUCACGGCGGCACGUCAUUUCCGGUGAAUCCCGAGAAGGUUUACUGUGAGCGGGACAGAGGGAAUGGAACUGGCCCGACACCCAGUCUGAGUGUGUGCAGUUCUCACAACAUCUUCUUCACGCGGUAAGCACCGUGUCCGCUUCCCGCUUCUUCCUCCCCCCACCCCUCACCAUCCCCUCACUCCUUAGCACACCCUCCUUUCUCAGUCUCACCACGUGAGCUCACCGUGUCCGCUUCCCGCUUCUCCCCCACCCCUCACCAUCCCCUCACUCCUCAGCACACCCUCCUUUCUCAGUCUCACUACGUGAGCUCACCGAGUCCGCUUCCCGCUUCUCCCCCACCCCUCACCAUCCCCUCACUCCUCAGCACACCCUCCUUUCUCAGUCUCACUACUCCAUUUUCCGUAACUCACCCCUCUGUUUUAUCUUACUCUCCUUCUCUUUCCCCUCUCACCCUAACGCUCCUCCUUCCUUUCCUCACCUCCCUCUCGAACUGCCCUCACUCCCACUUUAUAAAACUCUCACUUUUCUUCUCCCCUUUCUGUCUACAAACCCCCCACCCCCACCCCUGCCACUGCCCCUUCACUGACCGACAAUGAAUCUGUGCCCGUGCUCAUUCCGGGAUAGCGCACCAUCACUUUCUAUGUGUGAUGGUGACAGAGAAACAAUUGUCGACAAGAUAGACGGGUUUAUUCUGGUGUUUGGAGAUUGGAGUUUACAGGCAUUCAGAGCUGCCUGACCCAGAGGACAGAGAGACAUAGAAGGCGAGUGGGGGGAGAGGGGGGAGAGAGAGCGAGAGAGAGU
Mobula hypostoma (lesser devil ray) is the source of this 1054-nucleotide long non-coding RNA. RefSeq lists it as uncharacterized. The transcript is spliced from 3 exons. NCBI's taxonomy places the organism in Eukaryota, Metazoa, Chordata, Chondrichthyes, Myliobatiformes, Myliobatidae. The record is from RefSeq and is a predicted model, not a curated record.